UUGUUUGUGCUUUCUUAAAUACUGAGAAUGAGUCGUAACAUUUUCACAACCUUCACAAGGAUAUUAUUUAAAAGAAUAAAACAUGUAAAAGUAAAGAAAGAAAAUUAAUGUUUUAAAUGUUUAAAGACUUAAUAAUCAUGUGAUAUGUAUCUGUGCCACACCUAAACCGUGUUUUUAAACCCAUAAUAAUUGAGUUUUUAUUCCAGAAUUUACUACUGAAUAAUGUGAAUUUUAUACGAAGUGACGGGUUCUCACCGAACAAUAUAAGGCCGAGGUUGAGUUGGACUUGGAGAGUAUUAUGGGGGAGAUCUUGAUCGAGGACGGGAUGACGUUACUGGUCCGGAGUGCUUCUCUCAACCUUUUGUUCUGCCUUUCCUACCUACCCUGUAACUAAUACUGAUCGAGACUGUUUAACCCGGAGUAUGUGGUUGAUCAAGAAACCUUAGUUUGAACUGUUGGAGAAGGUCAAUCAAUCAACCAAACUAUUUCAAGUAAGAUCAAGUCAACAUUUAGCUCUAUUCAAAAGGUUUACUUUGCAAAUACAGGGAAUUGUUUAGGCUGAAACCUGAGGACGUUGUUCUACUAAAAGCCCGAGAUUAACAGUGGAGUUGUUCCAAACCUGUAUUAAACCUGGAGACGUUGAUGUAUUUCUGCACCCUGCGACUGUGAGUUCUGGAGUCAAAUCUAUCCUAUACUUGAUUGCUGACGGAGACGUUUGAGGCGUCUGUAAAGCAUCAUUAUAUAUAAAAUCUGCUUUAUCGAGACGUGGUUCUCGCUCUUUCAUCUGGAGAAAGGAUUAGAACCUUAUACUUGGAGACGUGGAUCUCCAUAACCUGUAAUCCUUGAUCUCUUGCCCUGAGAAGUUUCCUUGAGACGUGGAGAUCAGUAUUGAAACCAGAACAAAGUAAAUCUUACUCUCGCCCUUGACGAGAGGAUGGAUGUGCUGGAGGCACAGAUACAAUCCAUCAAUUAAACCGAAGUAAGAUUUUUUUUAAUUUCAUUUUCUGAAAUUUGUUGGAUAUUCAAGAGUUGUAUGGAAACUACAGGGUGUUAAUGCAGGAACCUUGCCUGUGCUGGUUCUGUUGGUUGGAGAGGAUUUCGCUUAACUUGUAGCUC
Long non-coding RNA from Eurytemora carolleeae, 1116 nucleotides. RefSeq lists it as uncharacterized. The transcript has 4 exons. Lineage: Eukaryota; Metazoa; Arthropoda; Copepoda; Calanoida; Temoridae. The record is from RefSeq and is a predicted model, not a curated record.